This 479-nucleotide ribosomal RNA is filed under the name uncultured bacterium. RNAcentral describes it as "partial 16S ribosomal RNA". It matches the Rfam family "Bacterial small subunit ribosomal RNA", at positions 28 to 523 of the family's 1533-position model. The record is from RNAcentral.
GACGAACGCUGGCGGCGUGCUUAACACAUGCAAGUCGAGCGAUGAAGCACCUUCGGGUGUGAAUUAGCGGCGAACGGGUGAGGAACACGUGAGAAAUCUGCCUUCAACUCUGGGAUAACUCCGUGAAAACGGGGCUAAUACCGGAUAUGAAACCUGCGGGCAUCCGCGGGUUUGGAAAGUUUUUCGGUUGAAGAUGAUCUCGCGGCCUAUCAGCUUGUUGGUGAGGUAAUGGCUCACCAAGCCGACGACGGGGAGCCGGCCUGAGAGGGCGACCGGCCACACUGGGACUGAGACACGGCCCAGACUCCUACGGGAGGCAGCAGUGGGGAAUAUUGGGCAAUGGAGGAAACUCUGACCCAGCGACGCCGCGUGCGGGAUGAAGGCCUUCGGGUUGUAAACCGCUUUCAGCAGGGAAGAAGCGAAAGUGACGGUACCUGCAGAAGAAGCACCGGCUAACUAUGUGCCAGCAGCCGCCGUAA